CAAUAGCGUAUAUUAAAGUUGUUGCAGUUAAAAGCUCGUAGUUGGAUUUCUGGGAGAGUGCCAAUGUCCGCCGACGUGCGUGCGCAGCGGCGCUCUUUCAUCCUUCUGUUAACGGCUCUUGGCAUUCAUUUGCUGGUGUCGGGCUCAGAUAUUUUACCUUGAGAAAAUUAGAGUGUUUCAGGCAGGCUAGGCCGGAAUACAUUAGCAUGGAAUAAUGGAAUAGGACUACGGUCUCUUUGUUGGUUUGAGGGACUGCAGUAAUGAUUAAUAGGGAUAGUUGGGGGCGAUUCAUAUUUAAUUGUCAGAGGUGGAAAUUACUUGGAUUUAUUGAAAGAAUGAACUUCUUGCGAAAGACAUUUGUCCAAGGAAGUGUUUUCUAUUAAUUCAAGAACGAAAGUUAAGGGGAGUCAAAGAAUGAUCAGAUACCGU
RNAcentral lists this ribosomal RNA (429 nucleotides) under uncultured eukaryote. Its description in RNAcentral is "bacterial SSU rRNA". It matches the Rfam family "Eukaryotic small subunit ribosomal RNA", at positions 592 to 1018 of the family's 1831-position model. The record is from RNAcentral.